UUUUUUUUUUUUUUUUUUUUUUUUUUUUUUUUUUUUUUUUUUUCCCUA
Molecule: non-coding RNA, 48 nt
Filed under: Alexandrium minutum
Lineage: Eukaryota; Dinophyceae; Gonyaulacales; Pyrocystaceae
Source: RNAcentral